UUCACAGUGGUUAAGUUCUGC
This 21-nucleotide microRNA is filed under the name Lepisosteus oculatus (spotted gar). RNAcentral's name for it is "Loc-Mir-27-P3_3p (mature (guide))". Lineage: Eukaryota; Metazoa; Chordata; Actinopteri; Semionotiformes; Lepisosteidae. The record is from RNAcentral. RNAcentral also lists the same sequence under 5 other names.